CGCUUUCACGUUCUCUGUUGUGUCGUCUCAAUGUGUAUGUCUAUUUCUGUUCUUUCUUCUCUCUUGUUUCAGAACUCAUGUUUGUUUGUUGUCUCCUUUUUCUAUUUUGUGUAAUCAUCAAAUUUGAUUGAUUUUUGUUAAGUGAAAGAAAGACGUUGUUGAAAUGGAGUGUGGCAAAAUGAUAAUGAAAUGGAGGAUCAAAUGCGAUGUCGAUAAGCUUUACUCGAAGAAUUUCUUCACUGGAAACUAUUUGGAUGAUUCUUAUCUUUCCAAAUGGCAACAAUUUAUCAUGUUUUUUGGUUGCUGGGGAUCUCUCUAAUUUGCAUCAAAUCUGGAGCAAAUUUGAAUAUUUCAAGGUGGCCGUUAUUGAUCAAAUUAAUGGCCAAAAGACAAUAACUGAAGAAUAUGAACACAGGUUCACUGCAAAUAAGCCUGAUUGGCAUUGGGGUUGUGAGAGGUUCAUAAGUUUAUCUAAACUUCGUAACACCUAUGGGUUAAUCAAGAAUAGUACUUGUAUUUUUCAAGCUGAGAUUGCUGUUAGAAGUCAGGCAGAUCAAGUAGGUACCAAACCUGGUGCUAGUGUUGAGCCUGUUAAAAAUGUUUUGCUAAUCCUUUACCCAAGGAAUUCUCUGUGGCAUCAUCAGGUGGUGAGCUUGUGGAUUUCAAGAGUUUUGGGAAAAUUGAAGAAGCUUUUGUUCCACUGUUGGAGGAAGUUUGCUCAUGGCAUCCCUCACUAAUUGACUGCCAGCGGAAGAGAAAGAGAAGUCGCAGUUUCACAGAAUGGGCAUUCACAGCUUUGGGUCGAGUUUUUCAUUUUCUUAAGAACAAAAAGGUGAAAGAUAUGAAUGAGGAAGCUUGUAGUCAUCUCCGGUUUUUAUGGGAGGAACUUGAGACUUUUAAAUUUGACUUGACUUGGCUGCAACCUCAUAUUCAAUCUGCCUUAAGUAUGAAAAGUUAUGUAGAGAAGCUGUGCAGCUCAAAACGUUAAAGGAGAAUGUGGCAACUCUAGACAUGGAAUUCAAAUCGGUCGAGGAGAAGCUAUUUUCCGCAAAGGUAGAUCUUGAAAUAGCAAUACGAGAUUUGUCAAAAGAAGGUUUCCAAGAGAGGGAUUUGGAUGCUGAACUGGGAUAUGGAGGAGGACCUUAAAGAGUUUCGGUCAUACGUCGCUAAUAUCUCGUGUUUUUGUGACUAGAUGAAUAUGGAUGUAGGUGUUGAUGGCUCUGUUGACUGAAAUCAUUUUUUAUUUUAAUUUUAUGUCAAUUUAUUAGACCACUGCCAGUUUCUAUGGAAAAUAUAUGAACUUUUUUUCUGGAAUUGAUGCACUUAUAUCUAUAAUUGCUUGACAAUUGGUUUCUGCAUUGCUAUAAUUUGUUUUGCAGGGUCAUUUUGCUCUGAUUUCUUAAGAAAAGAAUAAGAGCGAAGUUGACAUAGUACAACUCCCUAAUUCAAACAAUGGAAUGUCAUACUGGUUGAAGUUUCAUCUAUCAAACUUUUUGUUUGAGAAAGGGGAAGAUGAGAUUAAUUAUGUGAUCAAAAUGAAAGAGAUCUAUGGCUUGAAAGUAGAGAAACAUAGGCCUAUCUGUGUAUUAAUAUCAUUACUCUUUGUUUAGGCUUAAAUUAAUCUUUUAAAUUAAUGCCUAAAAGUAACUGUUCUGAGGAUGAGUGAUAAAUAAAUUAAGAUUUCAAAGUCGCUAAUGUCUUUUAGGUUUGUUUUAAAUCUGAUAGUCGUAUGUAGCUCCUGCAAUGGAUAUUGUUUUUUUUUUUUUUAAAUAAUGUGAGGGUGUCCUACAAGACCAUGAGGGCAAUUUCCUUGUUGGUUUUUCAACCAUGUUGGGCAAUUGUUCCAUUAACCAUGCAGAACUUUGGGGAAUUUAUCAUGGUGCUAAGCUAGCUUUAACAAGAGGCUUCGGCAAGGUCAUUGUGGAAUCGAAUUCUGAUUUUGCAAUUAGACUUAUAGACAAGGGCUGAUUUACUGCUAAGGCUUCUACUUUUCUGGUUAAGAAUAUUAAGAGGCUCUUCGGGAACUUUGAGCAAAUUCUUUUGUAGCAGAGUUUAGAGAGGCAAAGUCAAUUGAGGCUCUACAUCAUAUUCUGUCUUCACAUUCAAAGUUCUUUUGUUCCCUACAACACCUACAAAAACUGUAUGGGUUUAAAGAUUGGAUGGCAUGAAAAAAACAUUGCAAAAAAAAAAAGAAAAUCCUAUUCCGUUUUCUAUAACUCCAAGAACCCCCAACAGUGCAUAAUUAGUAUCUUAUGCUAUGCACUGUUUUUGUUAGUUAAUAGACCAGCUGCUUCAGUAAUACUCCUUAUACUCUGGGUUUUUUUAUCGAGCUGAAUGGCAUUGUCUGAUCCAUAUAGCCGAGCUCACUUAGUGGGAUAAAGAUUUUGUUGUUGUUGUUGUUGUUGUUGUUGUUUUCUAUAGAUCAGCUGCUUCAGUCACAUGAAGGGUUUGAGAAUCAGCUGAAGGAAUUGGAAAAGCAACAUGAGGGCUGAAGCGCGACAAUGGUGGGAUCCGGGGCAACAGAGCAGUUGUUCUUGUCCUUGGAGAUAAGUUUUGCUGCGCCAGAAUUAAGAACUGAAGCUCUGCAGAAUUGGCUGUCUUGAAGAAGAUCUACUUGCUCUCCGAAAAAAUCACCAGCAUGUUGCCUAGUUUUGGUAUUUCAGUUCAAGCUAUCUUUGAUCCAAGUUGUUGGGACAAUCUGGACAAGGGUGGAUCAGAGGUUGAAUCAUCAUCGCCAUUAUUAGAGUCCUCCUUGCUCGCGUCGGCUAACUCUUCGGUUAGUGUGCUGGGAACUCUCGGUUUCAUCGUUUGGAGGUAACUUGUUGGCCUCUAAAGAACUACCUCGAGAGAGAAGAUCCUGCUUCGUUUUGGCUGCGUCAUCUUCUUCAUCUGGGUUUUUUCUAGAUACAAGAAAAAGACAUUUAACAUUCCGAAAGGAUUUUAUCUUCUAGAUGUAAUGAACAUGACUAUUGGCUGUUUCACUACACAUUGUGUCUUGGAUCAAGUUAUAGCAGCUAUCUUUAACUCUCUAUCCAAAGUAAACUAGCGUGAGAUAGUAAAGAGUGUGGAUGUAUGAAGUAUGCAACUCUAGAAGUUUAAUUUUCUCUUCCUAUCAUGUAAAAGGUGAAUUAAAGUCUGCAUUAGAUUGAA
This is a long non-coding RNA of Lotus japonicus, 3150 nucleotides long. RefSeq lists it as uncharacterized. The record is from RefSeq and is a predicted model, not a curated record. Lineage: Eukaryota; Viridiplantae; Streptophyta; Magnoliopsida; Fabales; Fabaceae. The transcript is spliced from 4 exons.